Molecule: ribosomal RNA, 484 nt
Filed under: uncultured bacterium
Lineage: Bacteria
Description: partial 16S ribosomal RNA
Rfam family: Bacterial small subunit ribosomal RNA
Source: RNAcentral
AUUGAACGCUGGCGGCAAGCCUAACACAUGCAAGUCGAGCGGAUGAAGGGAGCUUGCUCCUGGAUUCAGCGGCGGACGGGUGAGUAAUGCCUAGGAAUCUGCCUGGUAGUGGGGGAUAACGUCCGGAAACGGGCGCUAAUACCGCAUACGUCCUGAGGGAGAAAGUGGGGGAUCUUCGGACCUCACGCUAUCAGAUGGGCCUAGGUCGGAUUAGCUAGUUGGUGGGGUAAAGGCCUACCAAGGCGACGAUCCGUAACUGGUCUGAGAGGAUGAUCAGUCACACUGGAACUGAGACACGGUCCAGACUCCUACGGGAGGCAGCAGUGGGGAAUAUUGGACAAUGGGCGAAAGCCUGAUCCAGCCAUGCCGCGUGUGUGAAGAAGGUCUUCGGAUUGUAAAGCACUUUAAGUUGGGAGGAAGGGCAGUAAGUUAAUACCUUGCUGUUUUGACGUUACCAACAGAAUAAGCACCGGCUAACUUCGUG